This 495-nucleotide ribosomal RNA is filed under the name uncultured bacterium. Its description in RNAcentral is "partial 16S ribosomal RNA". It matches the Rfam family "Bacterial small subunit ribosomal RNA", at positions 30 to 507 of the family's 1533-position model. The record is from RNAcentral.
UGAACGCUGGCGGCGUGCCUAAUACAUGCAAGUCGAGCGAACAGACGCGGAGCUUGCUCCUCUGACGUUAGCGGCGGACGGGUGAGUAACACGUGGAUAACCUACCUAUAAGACUGGGAUAACUUCGGGAAACCGGAGCUAAUACCGGAUAAUAUAUUGAACCGCAUGGUUCAAUAGUGAAAGACGGUUUUGCUGUCACUUAUAGAUGGAUCCGCGCCGCAUUAGCUAGUUGGUAAGGUAACGGCUUACCAAGGCGACGAUGCGUAGCCGACCUGAGAGGGUGAUCGGCCACACUGGAACUGAGACACGGUCCAGACUCCUACGGGAGGCAGCAGUAGGGAAUCUUCCGCAAUGGGCGAAAGCCUGACGGAGCAACGCCGCGUGAGUGAUGAAGGUCUUCGGAUCGUAAAACUCUGUUAUUAGGGAAGAACAAAUGUGUAAGUAACUAUGCACGUCUUGACGGUACCUAAUCAGAAAGCCACGGCUAACUACGUG